GGUUUAGACUCUUCCUGUCUCACAGUUUCCAACGUGUAAUCAUUCCAUGUGGCUCGGCGACUGCUUUUAAACAUGAACCCGCCGUAAUCCCGUGCCUUCUUGCUAGUUUGAUGUCCAUUUGCCUGUGCGGCUGGACUUGUGGUCGAAACGACAAUAUUAAGGAACCGAGGCUUCAGGCAGACGGCUAGUUGGCCUUGGCGUGCGGUGGUGGGACUCUAUCACAGGGUGCAGUGUGUUCACGCUGAUCUUACCGUGUGUGUGGUGCUCUUGUGCAUUUGGUGUUAUGCUCCUGGCGAUAUAGUAGCCGCAUACUCAUUAAGCUAGUUUCCUGCUUUAGGUAAGCCUCGGUGUCCUUUUUGUUUUUAUGCCUAUUUUAUUCCAGCCCAUAGUCAUGUUUUAACAGUAAUACCCAUAUUUAUUGUGAAAUAAAACAUUUUUUUGUAUCUUUGGUA
Long non-coding RNA from Silurus meridionalis, 452 nucleotides. RefSeq lists it as uncharacterized. NCBI's taxonomy places the organism in Eukaryota, Metazoa, Chordata, Actinopteri, Siluriformes, Siluridae. The record is from RefSeq and is a predicted model, not a curated record. The transcript is spliced from 2 exons.